GACGAACGCUGUCGGCGUGCUUAACACAUGCAAGUCGAACGGAAAGGCCCUGCUUUUGUGGGGUGCUCGAGUGGCGAACGGGUGAGUAACACGUGAGUAACCUGCCCUUGACUUUGGGAUAACUUCAGGAAACUGGGGCUAAUACCGGAUAGGAGCUCCUGCUGCAUGGUGGGGGUUGGAAAGUUUCGGCGGUUGGGGAUGGACUCGCGGCUUAUCAGCUUGCUGGUGGGGUAGUGGCUUACCAAGGCUUUGACGGGUAGCCGGCCUGAGAGGGUGACCGGCCACAUUGGGACUGAGAUACGGCCCAGACUCCUACGGGAGGCAGCAGUGGGGAAUAUUGCACAAUGGGCGGAAGCCUGAUGCAGCAACGCCGCGCGCGGGAUGACGGCCUUCGGGUUGUAAACCGCUUUCGCCUGUGACGAAGCGUGAGUGACGGUAAUGGGUAAAGAAGCACCGGCUAACUACGUGCCAGCAGCCGCGGUGAUACGUAGGGUGCGAGCGUUGUCCGGAUUUAUUGGGCGUAAAGGGCUCGUAGGUGGUUGAUCGCGUCGGAAGUGUAAUCUUGGGGCUUAACCCUGAGCGUGCUUUCGAUACGGGUUGACUUGAGGAAGGUAGGGGAGAAUGGAAUUCCUGGUGGAGCGGUGGAAUGCGCAGAUAUCAGGAGGAACACCAGUGGCGAAGGCGGUUCUCUGGGCCUUUCCUGACGCUGAGGAGCGAAAGCGUGGGGAGCGAACAGGCUUAGAUACCCUGGUAGUCCACGCUGUAAACGGUGGGUACUAGGUGUGGGGUCCAUUCCACGGGUUCCGUGCCGUAGCUAACGCUUUAAGUACCCCGCCUGGGGAGUACGGCCGCAAGGCUAAAACUCAAAGGAAUUGACGGGGCCCCGCACAAGCGGCGGAGCAUGCGGAUUAAUUCGAUGCAACGCGUAGAACCUUACCUGGGUUUGACAUGGAUCGGGAGUGCUCAGAGAUGGGUGUGCCUCUUUUGGGGUCGGUUCACAGGUGGUGCAUGCCUGUCGUCAGCUCGUGUCGUGAGAUGUUGGGUUAAGUCCCGCAACGAGCGCAACCCUUGUUCACUGUUGCCAGCACGUUAUGGUGGGGACUCAGUGGAGACCGCCGGGGUCAACUCGGAGGAAGGUGGGGAUGACGUCAAGUCAUCAUGCCCCUUAUGUCCAGGGCUUCACGCAUGCUACAAUGGCUGGUACAGAGAGUGGCGAGCCUGUGAGGGUGAGCGAAUCUCGGAAAGCCGGUCUCAGUUCGGAUUGGGGUCUGCAACUCGACCUCAUGAAGUCGGAGUCGCUAGUAAUCGCAGAUCAGCAACGCUGCGGUGAAUACGUUCCCGGG
Molecule: ribosomal RNA, 1343 nt
Filed under: uncultured bacterium
Lineage: Bacteria
Description: 16S ribosomal RNA
Rfam family: Bacterial small subunit ribosomal RNA
Source: RNAcentral